AUUGAACGCUGGCGGCAGGCCUAACACAUGCGAGUCGAGCGGAUGAAGGGAGCUUGCUCCUGGAUUCAGCGGCGGACGGGUGAGUAAUGCCUAGGAAUCUGCCUGGUAGUGGGGGAUAACGUCCGGAAACGGGCGCUAAUACCGCAUACGUCCUGAGGGAGAAAGUGGGGGAUCUUCGGACCUCACGCUAUCAGAUGAGCCUAGGUCGGAUUAGCUAGUUGGUGGGGUAAAGGCCUACCAAGGCGACGAUCCGUAACUGGUCUGAGAGGAUGAUCAGUCACACUGGAACUGAGGCACGGUCCAGACUCCUACGGGAGGCAGCAGUGGGGAAUAUUGGACAAUGGGCGAAAGCCUGAUCCAGCCAUGCCGCGUGUGUGAAGAAGGUCUUCGGAUUGUAAAGCACUUUAAGUUGGGAGGAAGGGCAGUAAGUUAAUACCUUGCUGUUUUGACGUUACCAACAGAAUAAGCACCGGCUAACUUCGUG
RNAcentral lists this ribosomal RNA (484 nucleotides) under uncultured bacterium. RNAcentral's name for it is "partial 16S ribosomal RNA". It matches the Rfam family "Bacterial small subunit ribosomal RNA", at positions 30 to 507 of the family's 1533-position model. The record is from RNAcentral.